RNAcentral lists this ribosomal RNA (465 nucleotides) under uncultured bacterium. RNAcentral's name for it is "partial 16S ribosomal RNA". It matches the Rfam family "Bacterial small subunit ribosomal RNA", at positions 355 to 810 of the family's 1533-position model. The record is from RNAcentral.
UGGGGAAUUUUGGACAAUGGGGGAAACCCUGAUCCAGCCAUCCCGCGUGUGCGAUGAAGGGCCUUCGGGUUGUAAAGCACUUUUGGCAGGAAAGAAACGUCGCGGGUUAAUACCCCGCGGAACUGACGGUACCUGAGAAUAAGCACCGGCUAACUACGUGCCAGCAGCCGCGGUAAUACGUAGGGUGCAAGCGUUAAUCGGAAUUACUGGGCGUAAAGCGUGCGCAGGCGGUUCGGAAAGAAAGAUGUGAAAUCCCAGAGCUUAACUUUGGAACUGCAUUUUUAACUACCGGGCUAGAGUGUGUCAGAGGGAGGUGGAAUUCCGCGUGUAGCAGUGAAAUGCGUAGAUAUGCGGAGGAACACCGAUGGCGAAGGCAGCCUCCUGGGAUAACACUGACGCUCAUGCACGAAAGCGUGGGGGAGCAAAGCAGGAUUAGAUACCCUGGUAGUCCACGCCCUAAACGAU